This is a long non-coding RNA of Gadus macrocephalus (Pacific cod), 212 nucleotides long. RefSeq lists it as uncharacterized. Lineage: Eukaryota; Metazoa; Chordata; Actinopteri; Gadiformes; Gadidae. The record is from RefSeq and is a predicted model, not a curated record. The transcript is spliced from 2 exons.
CAGAGGGAGAGAGGGGUUCUCUAUCUCUCCUCGGGCACGGAGGGUCGGUCUCGUCAAAUGGUCCCACAGCCAGGAAGGUCUCAUCAGAUGGUCCCACAGCCAGUAGCCUUCACAGCCCCGUUGGGCUAUGGCAGAGAUCUCCCCUUGCGCCGGGAGGGUAAGGCUGUAGGUAUCUGUAGAGUGUUGGAGAGAGGAUGUCCUAAUAUUUCUAA